UGUUUUCUUUUGCAGGGUUUCGUAAGUGCUGCCUGAGACGCACAUUCAGUCACUGGUCGCCCUGCGGAGGCUUCACUUGUUCCUCUGCGCCUCUGAGCUACGUUCCCGUCAGCGCACAGCGGAAUCAUCCCAACAUGGCUCGGAGUUCUUGGCUCUUGCUGAGUUACGCGUUGUUUGCUCUCUCGUUUGGCACGGAAGGGAAACGCAGACGUGAGAGAGUUUACUAUGUGGGGAUCAUUGAGGAGGACUGGUCUUACGCGCCAAGUGGAAAAAACCUGCUGAACGGCCAAGCGAUCGGAGACGACGAGCAUGCGUCCGUUUUUCUGGAAAGAGGGCGACACCGCAUCGGAAGUGUUUACAGGAAAGCAAUGUACAGAGAGUAUACGGACGACACCUACAGUCAUCUGGCUCCUCGGCCCGAUUGGCUCGGUUUUCUGGGACCCAUACUGCGAGCUGAGGUUGAUGAUGUCAUCAUAAUUCACCUGAAAAACUUUGCCAACAGGAGCUACUCCAUACAUCCCCAUGGGCUUUUUUAUGAGAAGCAUACAGAAGGUGCUCUGUAUCCAGACAAGACGUCAAAUGCUUUGAAGGAGGAUGACUCCGUUCCUCCAGGGGGCAGCUACACUUACCGCUGGGUGGUCAAACCAAGGUUUGCCCCAACAAAUGAUGAUGCCAACUGCCUGACCUGGGUCUACCACUCCCAUGUUGAUACCCCGAAGGAUGUUUCGUCGGGCCUCAUUGGGCCUCUCAUCACAUGCAAAAAAGGAACUCUGAAGAAUCCUAGAAGAAGUUUUUUAUCAUAUGCAAACCCAGCCUCUGAGCCGGCCCGGAACGACGUCGACCAGGACAUCUACUUGAUGUUCAGUGUGGUUGACGAAAACCUGAGCUGGUAUCUAGAAGAAAAUAUUCAGAGAUGCAUUGACCCAGAUGGGGUCUCUAUGGACGAUCCAGACUUUGAGGAAUCAAACUUGAUGCAUGCUAUAAAUGGGUACACGUUUGGUAAUCUGCCCGGUAUCAAGCUAUGCCAGCACCGUCCCGUAGCCUGGCACAUGUUUGGCAUGGGCAACGAGGUGGAUAUCCACAGUGCUUUUUUCCACGGAAACACCCUGCUGGACCGCGGCCACCGCACCGACACUAUCAGCCUGUUUCCGGCCACAUUCGCUACUGCUACGAUGGUCCCAAAAAUGAAAGGAAAGUGGCUGCUGAGCUGCCAGGUUAACGACCACUUAGAAGCUGGCAUGCAGGCCUUUUACGAAGUGAUGUCAUGUGAUUCGUCAUUUGGCAGCACGGUAAUACCUGGUCGUGUGAGGAACUUCUACCUGGCUGCAGAGAAAGUUCUAUGGAAAUAUGCUCCUUCAGAAAAGGAUUUAAUUAACAACACAACUCUCACUGAAGCAGGGAGUGCAUCAGAGGUGUUUUUUAGCAAGGAUAACGGGGCAAUUGGAGGUGACUAUCUAAAAGUAGUGUACAAAGAAUACACAGACAGUACCUUCACCCAGGUCAAAGCAUCACCAUCUGAUCAUGGAUUCUUGGGUCCUGUUCUGAGGGCAGAGGAGGGAGAUAUUCUCUAUGUGACCUUCCUGAACAAGGCCGAUAGAAACUGCAGCAUUCAUCCUCAUGGACUGCACUACCACAAACACUUCCAGGGAGCCAGCUACAAAGAUGAUGUUGCCAAACCAGGGUCACACGUCCACCCUGGUGAGAAAUUCACCUACACGUGGCAGGUGCUGGAAGGUCCAUCCUCGUCCGAUCCUGCCUGUAUUCCUUACAUGUACUACUCGGCCACGGAUCCUGUCAUGGAUACCAACUCCGGGUUAGUCGGACCUCUGCUUGUGUGCAAACGAGGAGCACUGGGGGAGAAUGGCAUCCAGAAGGGUGUGGAUAAGGAGUUUUUCCUGCUUUUCUCUGUCAUGGAUGAAAACUUGAGCUGGUAUUUGAAUGAGAACAUUGAGCGUUUUGGCAAUGCUGAGACAGACGUAGAAGACGAGACCUUUGAGGAGAGCAAUAAAAUGCACGCUGUAAAUGGACGGAUGUAUGGGAACCUUGCCGGGCUGGAGAUGUGCGCCGGGGACAAUGUCAUGUGGUACACCCUCGGCCUCGGCACAGAGGCAGACAUACACGGUGUCUAUUUCGAGGGAAAUACCUUUAAGAAACAGAGCACAACGCGCGACACGGUCAGCCUGUUUCCUCACACCACUGCCGCUCUCUUCAUGCAGCCAAAUAAUCACGGUGUGUUUGAGGUGAGCUGCAGAACAACAGACCACUUCUCCGCUGGCAUGAGACACUUGUACACAGUGAAACAUUGCCAGGGGAAAAGAGGGAACGCCCCACGCUUUGAGCCGACCAGGACCGUGAAGUACUUUAUCAGCGCUGAGGAAAUCGAAUGGGACUACUCUCCUACAAGAGACUGGGAGCUGGAGAAGCACAAAACAGGCCCAGAGGAGAGUCCAGGCAAUAUAUUUGUGGGUAAAGGGAAGAACAGGAUUGGCUCCCGCUAUAAGAAGGUGGUGUAUCGAGAAUACACAGACGAAACAUUCAGACAUCAGAAGAAGCGGCAGGAGCACUUGGGCAUCUUGGGUCCGAUAAUCCAUGGAGAGGUGGGAGAGCAGCUUCUGAUUGUGUUUAAAAACAAAGCCAGUCGGCCUUAUUCCAUCACAGCACAUGGAGUUAAAGCCAGCGGUUCACACGUUGCUGUUAAACCUGGCCACAUUCUUGAGUUGACUUGGGAUAUUCCUGAAAGCUCUGGCCCGGGGUUUUCAGAUCCGAACUGCAUCUCCUACGCCUACUUCUCAUCUGUUGACUACAUUAAGGAUCUCUAUAGCGGUCUUCUGGGGCCCCUGGUGAUCUGCAGGCGCUUGACUCUGCGUCGUGACACCAGACAGAGGGGGGAGAUAGACCGGGAGUUCGCUCUGCUGUUUUUGGUGUUUGACGAAAACCAGUCCUGGUACCUGGAGGAAAACAUUAAAACGUACCUCGGUGUUGAUCCCGAAACGUUUGAAAAAGACAGUGACUUUGAGGAGAGUAACCUGAUGCACGGAAUCAGUGGUAGAGUGUACGGCAAUCUCCACGGACUGGUGAUGAAGCAGGACGAGAAAGUCGACUGGUACCUGCUCGGCAUGGGCAACGAAAUAGACAUGCACACGGUUCACUUUCACGCUGAAACCUUCAUCUACAGGACGGACCAUGUGCACCGCGCAGAUGUUUUCGAUUUGUUCCCUGGGACUUUCCAGACUGUUGAGAUGGUGGCGGCAAACCCAGGGACCUGGUUACUCCAUUGUCACGUCAGCGACCACAUCCAUGCAGGCAUGGAGACCACUUAUACCAUAAAAGCUGCAGAGAAGUCCUUGCCAGGUAAAGGUCUUGUUCUUUUGGUUUUGCAAAUCACAUAAAAAACGUUUUUUUCAACACAGCAUGUGCACACAUGUAGUAAAUAUAACAAUAUGUACAUGCUGACCUGCUUUGAUUGUAGAAUCUGUUUGAGUUACUUUAUGUAACUUCAUUUUAAUAGGAAAGUUUUUAUUCAUGUUCCAUAACUAUUUGAGGUAGGAGAGAGAGGGAUCUCUCAUUGGAUCAUCCCCAGUGUGCUUUUAUAAGCUCUUCUCUUCAGUGCAGCCAGCAAAUGCUUUGUUGUUUAUUUAUUUAUUUAUUUUUAAGGAUUUAAGUCCAGGAACUGAGACAGCCAUAGACUAAAGGUUGAUUUUAUGCCCGGAGAACUAUUUCUGUGUUGACUUGUUACGGAUCAGAAUAAUCAUUGGUCCACCUUUAGGCUUGUUUGUCACAAUUUCAGUUAUUUUCAUCAUUACAGCAGAUAUGAGUACAUUAAGGAGAAAAGGGCUAUUUUCUUGUCAUCCCUCGCUUUAGGAAGACCUACACAAUUGAUUCGUUUGAUUAGUAUAUUUUCCUACUUGUCUCAUUUGAGUGUAUAAAUGUGAUAAAUGUAAUUUAUCACAUUUAUACAGGGAAGGGAAAAUGGGAAUUUUUGGGGAGCUGAUAACGGUUGCAUCUGGGAGUUUAUUAAAAACUGUUAGGCAGCAGACAGGCAGGGGAGCCGGUAUUGGAACCAGACACGGUGUUGCGUUUAAAAGGUUUAUUGGCAAAAAUACAUAGAAACCUCUGGAGGAGCAAGCUGGAGAUCGUGGCAGUGGAGAGAACUGGCUCGCUCAUUGCAGAGGUGAAUGACAAUAUAGCCGAGGCUUGAGUGGAGUCCAGGAGACAGGCUUGGGACAGGCACCGGUGGUCGGACACUGGGUAGACUACCCCAAGGGACAAGGCGAGGCUCGUAAUCGAGGGAACAGUCCAAGGUCAUGGUACGGAAAACGGAAGCUUUGCAAGGGAGUAAAAUCCAGAAAACACGGCACACAGCCAUGAAGACCACUGACCAUCUACUGGAUGAAAGCUUUCAAUAAUCUGACGCAGUCUUGCUUUCUGAGGAGAACUUCUAAAGAGCAGGAAACAGGUGUGAGGCAUGAGCCGCAUUGCAGAGCAGCGGAGAGGCAGGCACGCAGGUGUGGUCCAUAGGUUCCCAUAAGUAGAAAAAAAAAAAAAACACUUUUGCCUGAAGUGCUGCUCAGUGGUGAGGGAGUAGUUGAGUAUUAGUACUCAUACAUUUUUUAAGAAUUAGCAUAUAGCAGUUCAUGUAAUUUACAGGAAGAUUUUUGUUUAUGGUUGCCUUUUCAUUAUACCAAGAUGUUUCUUCUGACUGGAAGUGGUACUGAUGUUUUGGACUGGCCCAGCCAAAGUACCCUCUUGAAACUGUGCAGGGAGCUAAAGUGAUGGAAAGGAAGCCUUCCAGCUGUACAGACUUGGAGCUCAUCACCACAGAUUAAUUGUUAGAAUAAGAGUGGAAGCGUACAAAAAGCUGGUCAACUAUUAUAAGACAGAUUUUAACAACAUGAUGCCAAUAAAGCUUUUUUUAAGAGUUCAUUGUAAAGGGCAUACUAUUUAUUUUCCAAAACGUAUACUCCUUUUACUUAGUUUGAAUGUGUUUUAAGAACUGGCUGUCUCAUUUUUCUAUUAAAAACAGAUUUAUUAGUUAAGUGAUUAUUAGUUAAGUUAAGAUUAAAAUCUAACAGAGGUAUAAAUAAUUCUAUACUUAAUGAAAGAUUGCCUUGUUUUUUAUUUCAAUUGUUUACAAUAUAACAAUAACUAAUAUGCCACGCAAAAUACCCCAUAUCUGCAUGGUGUUUGAACCUUCCGCCUUCCACGCGCAUGGUGUGUGUGUGUGUGUGUGUGUGUGUGUGUGUGUGUGUGUGUGUGUGUC
RNA transcript from Fundulus heteroclitus (mummichog), 5260 nucleotides. It is a transcript of the gene named ferroxidase HEPHL1, with no coding region annotated. NCBI's taxonomy places the organism in Eukaryota, Metazoa, Chordata, Actinopteri, Cyprinodontiformes, Fundulidae. The record is from RefSeq and is a predicted model, not a curated record. The transcript is spliced from 20 exons.